RNAcentral lists this long non-coding RNA (909 nucleotides) under Medicago truncatula (barrel medic). RNAcentral's name for it is "long non-coding RNA (MTRU_LNC001162)". Lineage: Eukaryota; Viridiplantae; Streptophyta; Magnoliopsida; Fabales; Fabaceae. The record is from RNAcentral.
UGAAAGUUAAUUGAUUCACUGCAUUAAUAUUAAUAUUUGUUUUAAUGUGCAGUUUAUUAACUUUCGGUUGUACACCAUAUGAGUUAUUUUCCGCUCAUUAAUUGAAAAUAUUUUAUUUGGUUGUGGCUUUAAGGUACCAGCUUCUCAUGAGCUCAGCCUCUAUGGAGCCAUCCAUGAUGAGGUCUCCAAACCCUUGUAUGUUAUUUGGGAUCGUGGCUGGUUGUGUUUCCUUUCAUUGCUUAUUUUUACUAGUAUUAAUGUUCUUUUUCUUUGAACUUGUUGAAAGUAUGAAUGAUCAGUUACACAUUGGAUUAAAAAAUAGGCGAGACAAGUGAUUUAUGAGAGAAAUCCGCAUAUUUACUCGUACUAUCAGGACUUCCUUACACGACAAGGAAAUGGAAAUCUUGAGAAAGAAAAAUGAAAUUAAAUUUUAUUUUCAUCACUUCUGUAUAGUUCAGUUUGCUGUAAGCAAAAACAAAUAUGUUAGGGACACAAACCAGUUUUGCUGUAAAUGCAUUAUACCGACACUAUAUUAUUAUAGGGAAGUAGUAAGUUAGUAACAAUAAAUAACAAUAUUGAGCUCAAUGAGCCAGAUAAUUUAAAUGCGUACAAUCAAAAUUUCUUAACGAUGUUAGUCAUCGAGCCUGAAAGAAAAGAAAAAAAAAACAAGAUGUGUUGAAAUUUUUAAGGUUGAAUUUUGACUCACCGAUGCAGUUUAAUGGCAUCAUGAGCUCAACCUCUACCAAGCCAUCCAUGAUGAGGUCUCCAAACCACCACUCCUCAAGCAUACCGUUGUCGGAAGGGGACUUGUAGCAGUGGCGCGUGAAUAUGACGGGGAUGGUUGGGAAGAAUUGGAGCAAAACAAUAAUGAUGAAAAGAUAUAUUAACAAGAAUUACAAUGAAAAUCCC